Molecule: ribosomal RNA, 393 nt
Filed under: uncultured bacterium
Lineage: Bacteria
Description: bacterial SSU rRNA
Rfam family: Bacterial small subunit ribosomal RNA
Source: RNAcentral
UGAUCCAGCCAUGCCGCGUGAGUGAUGAAGGCCUUAGGGUCGUAAAGCUCUUUCGCCUGUGAUGAUAAUGACAGUAGCAGGUAAAGAAACCCCGGCUAACUCCGUGCCAGCAGCCGCGGUAAUACGGAGGGGGUUAGCGUUGUUCGGAAUUACUGGGCGUAAAGCGCGCGUAGGCGGAUUAGUCAGUUAGAGGUGAAAUCCCAGGGCUCAACCCUGGAACUGCCUUUAAUACUGCUAGUCUUGAGUUCGAGAGAGGUGAGUGGAAUUCCGAGUGUAGAGGUGAAAAUUCGUAGAUAUUCGGAGGAACACCAGUGGCGAAGGCGGCUCACUGGCUCGAUACUGACGCUGAGGUGCGAAAGUGUGGGGAGCAAACAGGAUUAGAUACCCUGGUAG